RNAcentral lists this ribosomal RNA (478 nucleotides) under uncultured bacterium. RNAcentral describes it as "partial 16S ribosomal RNA". It matches the Rfam family "Bacterial small subunit ribosomal RNA", at positions 28 to 507 of the family's 1533-position model. The record is from RNAcentral.
GAUGAACGCUGGCGGCGUGCUUAACACAUGCAAGUCGAACGGGAAACCUUUUAUUGAAGCUUCGGCAGAUUUAGCUGGUUUCUAGUGGCGGACGGGUGAGUAACGCGUGGGUAACCUGCCUUAUACAGGGGGAUAACAGUCAGAAAUGGCUGCUAAUACCGCAUAAGCGCACAGAGCUGCAUGGCUCAGUGUGAAAAACUCCGGGGGUAUAAGAUGGACCCGCGUGGGAUUAGCUGGUUGGGGGGGUAACGGCCCACCAAGGCGACGAUCCAUAGCCGGCCUGAGAGGGUGAACGGACACAUUGGGACUGAGCCACGGCCCAGACUCCUACGGGAGGCAGCAGUGGGGAAUAUUGCACAAUGGGGGAAACCCUGAUGCAGCGACGCCGCGUGAAGGAAGAAGUAUCUCGGUAUGUAAACUUCUAUCAGCAGGGAAGAUAAUGACGGUACCUGACUAAGAAGCCCCGGCUAACUACGUG